AUAUUUAUUAAUAUUAUUACAAUGUUUGUAAAAUAGACCAAGGUCCUUUUUGUAAAAAUUAGGCUCGAGGGGUUAGUUCUGACUUAAAGGAAUAUGCUAUUGUUAAAAGAAUAAGUGCAAAAUUUUCAAUUUUCAAUAUAGUAGUUUGUAAAAUUUAAAAUUAAAUGAAUUAGAUUUUGUUAUAAUUAUUAGUUUUGGUUAAAAUAUGUGCCAGCAACUGCGGUUAUACUAUUGAGGCGAGCAUAUUAUGUUUAUAAUAUUGAUUUAUUUUAAAAUAGAAAUAAGUAAUUUUGGGUGGGUGAAAUCAUCAUAAUGUAAAAUUCUAAAAUUAAAUCUUAAAAAUUUUAAUAAAAACUAGGAUUAGAUACCCUAUUAUAAAAAUAUUAAAAAUUAGGUAGUAACGGAGUUUCUGAAACCUAAAGGACUUGGCGGUAUUUUAAAUAAUUGGAGGAACUUGUUAUUUAAUUGAAGUUACACAACAUAUCUUUCCUUAUUUUUGCUUGUAUAUCAUUGUUUUAAGAUAACAUUUUUCUAAUAUAGUCUAAAUCAAGUUUGUUCAAAAAAUCAAAUCAAGGCGCAGCAUAAUAAGGUUAUAAUGAGUUACAAUGAAAUUUAUUCAAACGGAAAUAAAAAGUAAAAUAUAUUGAAGGUGGAUUCAAAAAUAAUAAAAAAUUAAAAAGUUCUUAUGAAUAAUAAUUUAAAAUAUGCACAUAUUGCCCGUCAUUCUUUCUGUCAAGGGUAGAUAAGUCGUAACAUAGUAGAUUCACCGGAAGGUGAAUCUGGUUU
RNAcentral lists this non-coding RNA (786 nucleotides) under Heterometrus longimanus. Lineage: Eukaryota; Metazoa; Arthropoda; Arachnida; Scorpiones; Scorpionidae. The record is from RNAcentral.